Long non-coding RNA from Prionailurus viverrinus (fishing cat), 299 nucleotides. RefSeq lists it as uncharacterized. The record is from RefSeq and is a predicted model, not a curated record. The transcript is spliced from 3 exons. NCBI's taxonomy places the organism in Eukaryota, Metazoa, Chordata, Mammalia, Carnivora, Felidae.
GCGACUGCUCGAGAAGCGGGAGCUGGACGCAUAGGAGUAGGACCCAGGGGACAGUGAGGGCGGUGGCCCGAAGGUGGUCUGGAAAAUAAAGAGAUGUGUUGCUGCCACCUUCUGGUCAGAAGUUAGAAUGACAUGUCUGCAGUCAAUCCAUCUAAGACUCCAGGAGUUUCAAACCCAGAGAAGAGUUGAAAGAACAUUGCUAGAGGCCCCAAUAUACCCUUCUCCUGGACUUACAGUUGUCAGUAUUUUGACACAAUUCCUUUGAAAGUAAGUUUCAGACAUCAUGAUAUUUCACCCCU